UGCGGCUGAUGUCUUCUUUCCUUUUUGUACCAUCUCCCAAUCCCCUAAACCUGCUCUCAAUGGCCAGCAAUCAACCUCCUCUCAGCCCCUUAUCUUAGCCAUCCGAUGGGCAUUGAGGUUGUGCCUCGCACGCUGCAAAAAAAAUGCAGCGUGCAUGCUGCGGUAAUCUCUUUUUUUUUUUUUUUUUUUUUUUUUUUUUUUUUAUAAAAA
RNAcentral lists this long non-coding RNA (210 nucleotides) under Coffea arabica (coffee). Its description in RNAcentral is "long non-coding RNA (CARA_LNC005407)". The record is from RNAcentral. Lineage: Eukaryota; Viridiplantae; Streptophyta; Magnoliopsida; Gentianales; Rubiaceae.